UGCCUGCCCGUGAUUUAUUUAACGGCCGCGGUACCUAACCGUGCAAGGUAGAUAAUCAAUUGUCCCUUAAAUCGGGACUAGUAUGAACGGCAUCACGAGGGUUAAACUGUCUCCCUCCUUAAAUCAAUGAAAUUAAUUUUCCCGUGAAGAAGCGGGGAUAAAAUUAUAAGACGAAAAGACCCCAUGGAGCUUUAAGCUUAUUACCAUUUAUCUAAUUAUCUAACAUAUUAAUGAUAAAAGUGUUUAAUAGCUUUCGGUUGGGGCGACCCUGGAGAAAAAUAAAUCCUCCAGAUUGAAAAAAUAACCCUUAUAUAAGAACUACUGUUCAAAUAAACAAAAACUUGACAAAACUGACCCAGAAUUAACUGAUCAGUGGACCAAGUUACCCUGGGGAUAACAGCGCAAUCCAUUUCAAGAGCCCAUAUCGACAAAUGGGUUUACGACCUCGAUGUUGGAUCGGGGUAUCCUAGCAGCGCAGCUGUUGCUAAUGGUUCGUUUGUUCAACGAUUAACACCCCACGUGAUCUG
RNAcentral lists this ribosomal RNA (527 nucleotides) under Hyperolius substriatus (coastal reed frog). RNAcentral's name for it is "partial small subunit ribosomal RNA". It matches the Rfam family "Bacterial large subunit ribosomal RNA", at positions 1856 to 2607 of the family's 2925-position model. The record is from RNAcentral. Lineage: Eukaryota; Metazoa; Chordata; Amphibia; Anura; Hyperoliidae.